GUCUACGGCCAUACCACGUUGAAAAUACCAGGUAUCGUCCGAUCCCUGAAGUUAAGCAACACCGGGCCGAGUCAGUACCAGGGAGGGAGGCCACUUGGGAACACUCGGUGUCGUAGGCA
This 119-nucleotide ribosomal RNA is filed under the name Leptotrombidium deliense. Lineage: Eukaryota; Metazoa; Arthropoda; Arachnida; Trombidiformes; Trombiculidae. The record is from RNAcentral.